GAGAAUGUGAGACUUCUGAAGAGUUUUUUGCUUCUUUCCUGUGGGGCACGAUUCCACUUCCUAGCAGUAAUGGAAAAUCCUGAAUUAGCUACAGUAAUGUUAGAACCAUUUGGACCUCACCAAGGACUUCAACUAUAUCAUGCUAAAGUUACAGAAUCCAAAUUUGGCAACUGCCUGCAUCUGACCAACAGAAGUUUCUACAUUCUGCCAACAGAGUAACCCCUGGAAGACUGGCACAGAAGAAGGCACAAGGCAAAUACCCAUCUCUGUACACCCCAUGCUACUGUGUCAUAUGCUGCUCCAGGCAACUCCAAUGGAUUGGCCACCCUGGCCAAUGUGUUCUAGUAUGUUAGGUUUAUGUUCCCCUGCUUUCUACAAUCCUGUUCAAAGAGUUGCUGACUUAACCACAGAGAGAAUUCCAGAACAUGAGACACAGAAUAAACUUGAGCAAUCAUAGUCCAUCCACUUCACUUUCUCAUCGAAAACCAAAGGUCCAGUAAAGCUCUGGAACUCAACACUGUAAAGGAGCAAAGGAGAAUCUGUACAGAGCCUGGGUCCCUGUCUCCUUAUCCUACUUCAGCGGACUUGACUGCAAUCUGGAUUAUGCUGUUUCCUAAGCAUUUAAAAUAAAAUAAAAAGUGUAA
Long non-coding RNA from Piliocolobus tephrosceles (Ugandan red Colobus), 644 nucleotides. RefSeq lists it as uncharacterized. NCBI's taxonomy places the organism in Eukaryota, Metazoa, Chordata, Mammalia, Primates, Cercopithecidae. The record is from RefSeq and is a predicted model, not a curated record. The transcript is spliced from 3 exons.